UGAGCGCUUGUUACUGCACAAAGUGGGGGUUUCUUGCCUGAUGAGCAUAAGGAGCCAAUUAUGACGGCAUCAGCCUUUGAGAAAAGAAAACAGCUUUAUUGUGAGAUCCAUCAGUAAGGAGACAGGAGGCAUUUGCUCUCAGAUCCAGGGCUUGGAUCCAGGGCUUGGGCACAAUUUAUGGGAUGACAGGCAGGGCGGUCUGAAGCAUGGAGAUGGAUGAUUGGAGUGAGUUACUUGGGAGAUUGAAGAAACAAGAAAAACAUUUAUUUUAAAGCUGAGCGUCACAGGUCGGGCUCCCUGCUUGGAAACUGAAUGAGGCCAGGUGAGGCCAGGUGUCCCUCUAUUUCUUGUUUGCUUGCAUUGAAGGAAACCGGUUGCCAUGCUAUGAGCUGCCCGAUGGAAAGGCCCACAUGGAAGGAACUGAAGUCUUCUGGCUCAAAGUCACUGAGGAACUGAGGCCCUCAGUGCAAAGGCCCUCAAGGUAUUGAGUUCUGCCAACAGUCAUACGAGUAAGACUGGAAGUGGAUCUUCCCCCAGUCAGGCCAUCAGGUGAGACCACAUUCCUGGCUGACACUCUGACUGCAGCCAUGAGACACGUGGAGCCAGAGGCACCUGGCCAAGCUGCAGCUGGAUUCCUGACCCACAGAAGACCCACACAAUAAAUGUUUCUUGUUUUAAGUA
RNAcentral lists this long non-coding RNA (681 nucleotides) under Equus asinus (donkey). Its description in RNAcentral is "lncRNA (ENSEASG00005029351.1)". The record is from RNAcentral. Lineage: Eukaryota; Metazoa; Chordata; Mammalia; Perissodactyla; Equidae.